UACGUAGGCAGCGAGCGUUGUUCGGAGUUACUGGGCGUAAAGCGUGCGUAGGCGGUUGUCUAAGUUUGGUGUGAAAUCUCCUGGCUUAACUGGGAGGGUGCGCCGAAAACUGGGUGACUGGAGUGUCGGAGAGGUAAGCGGAAUUCCUGGUGUAGCGGUGAAAUGCGUAGAGAUCAGGAGGAACACCGGUGGCGAAGGCGGGUCUCUGGGCCGUAACUGACGCUGAGGAGCGAAAGCAUGGGGAGCGAACAGG
This 253-nucleotide ribosomal RNA is filed under the name uncultured bacterium. RNAcentral describes it as "partial 16S ribosomal RNA". It matches the Rfam family "Bacterial small subunit ribosomal RNA", at positions 524 to 776 of the family's 1533-position model. The record is from RNAcentral.